GAUGCUACCCUGUGCCCAAAUUGGGAGACUGAGACUUCAAGAGAUUAAGAAACUUGGCCAAGGCCACAUAAGCAGCAAGCAACAGAGGAAGGCCGAGAAAG
This is a long non-coding RNA of Pteropus alecto (black flying fox), 101 nucleotides long. RefSeq lists it as uncharacterized. The record is from RefSeq and is a predicted model, not a curated record. The transcript is spliced from 3 exons. Lineage: Eukaryota; Metazoa; Chordata; Mammalia; Chiroptera; Pteropodidae.